UAGUUUAAGGAAAGGAGAUCACCCUCCUGA
RNAcentral lists this non-coding RNA (30 nucleotides) under Rattus norvegicus (Norway rat). The record is from RNAcentral. Lineage: Eukaryota; Metazoa; Chordata; Mammalia; Rodentia; Muridae.